Schistosoma mansoni is the source of this 45-nucleotide non-coding RNA. The record is from Rfam. NCBI's taxonomy places the organism in Eukaryota, Metazoa, Platyhelminthes, Trematoda, Strigeidida, Schistosomatidae.
AUCCAGCUGACGAAUCUAAAAUAGGACGAAACGCGCAUCCUGGAU